UGGGUGGUGUCAUGGCUGCGG
This 21-nucleotide unclassified non-coding RNA is filed under the name Chlamydomonas reinhardtii. RNAcentral describes it as "small RNA Cre_3421". The record is from RNAcentral. Lineage: Eukaryota; Viridiplantae; Chlorophyta; Chlorophyceae; Chlamydomonadales; Chlamydomonadaceae.